UAAUAGGAAAUUAAGAGCAUAUGGUGGAUGCCUUGACACAAAAUGGCGAUGAAGGACGCGGCUUGGCGGCGAUACGCUUCGGGGAGGUGCCUAGCAACCUUUGAUCCGGAGGUUUCCGAAUGGGGAAACCCAAUCGAGUAAAGCUCGAUUACUCCGCUUUAGCGGAGAGUAAACCCAGGGAAGUGAAACAUCUCAGUACCUGGAGGAAAAGAGACUAAAUGAACUUCCUAGUUUGGAGGCGGAAAGCUUUCUGGCUUCCAAACUACGAGGUUCUUAGCAUUCCCUUAGUAGUGGCGAGCGAACAGGGAGGAGCCCAAACCCAUGAGUUUACUUGUGGGGGUUGUAAGACGUAAACGUAGUUAUCUAGGAAAGUAAAAAAAUAUUUUGUUAGCUGAAGCUGCUGGGAAGCAGCGCCGCAGAAGGUAAUGGCCCUGUAAGCGAAAACAAAAUAUCUUUCUUGUUUACGAUCUUGAGUACCUCGAGGAAUGAUAACCUUGAGGGAAUCAACCGGAACUAACCGGUAAGGCUAAAUACAUUUUGUGAUCGAUAGUGAACUAGUACCGUGAGGGAAAGGUGAAAAGCAGCCCCAUAAGGGCGUUGAAAUAGAC
This is a non-coding RNA of Candidatus Vogelbacteria bacterium, 608 nucleotides long. Lineage: Bacteria; Candidatus Vogeliibacteriota. The record is from Rfam.